GAUGAACGCUGGCGGCGUGCUUAACACAUGCAAGUCGAACGGAGUGCCUUAGAAAGAGGAUUCGUCCAAUUGAUAAGGUUACUUAGUGGCGGACGGGUGAGUAACGCGUGAGGAACCUGCCUCGGAGUGGGGGAUAACAGACCGAAAGGUCUGCUAAUACCGCAUGAUGCAGUUGGACCGCAUGGUCCUGACUGCCAAAGAUUUAUCGCUCUGAGAUGGCCUCGCGUCUGAUUAGCUUGUUGGCGGGGUAAUGGCCCACCAAGGCGACGAUCAGUAGCCGGACUGAGAGGUUGGCCGGCCACAUUGGGACUGAGACACGGCCCAGACUCCUACGGGAGGCAGCAGUGGGGAAUAUUGGGCAAUGGGCGCAAGCCUGACCCAGCAACGCCGCGUGAAGGAAGAAGGCUUUCGGGUUGUAAACUUCUUUUCUCAGGGACGAACAAAUGACGGUACCUGAGGAAUAAG
This 465-nucleotide ribosomal RNA is filed under the name uncultured bacterium. RNAcentral describes it as "bacterial SSU rRNA". It matches the Rfam family "Bacterial small subunit ribosomal RNA", at positions 28 to 490 of the family's 1533-position model. The record is from RNAcentral.